This 215-nucleotide long non-coding RNA is filed under the name Ananas comosus (pineapple). RNAcentral's name for it is "long non-coding RNA (ACOM_LNC009946)". Lineage: Eukaryota; Viridiplantae; Streptophyta; Magnoliopsida; Poales; Bromeliaceae. The record is from RNAcentral.
AUAUAAUUAUAUUGAUUGAGUAAAUCUAUGGGCGUGUUAGAUUCGCUCUUAUAGAUGAGUGUUUGAUACGCAGAAGUUUCAUUCUAAUUUUGAUUUUUGAGUAGAAUAGAAAUUCCCUAACCAAUCCGGUCAGAUUGAAAAUUGAAUUCAGACGAAGUGAAUGCCUGUUCCACAAAUAUCUUAAUUAUAUCUAAUAUUUUUAUUUAAAGCUUUAU